This 61-nucleotide ribosomal RNA is filed under the name Candidatus Kaiserbacteria bacterium RIFCSPHIGHO2_01_FULL_55_79. Its description in RNAcentral is "partial 16S ribosomal RNA". The record is from RNAcentral. Lineage: Bacteria; Candidatus Kaiseribacteriota.
UUUUGCUUAGAGUUUGAUCCUAGCUCAGGGUGAAUGCUGGCGGUAUGGAUAAGGCAUGCAA